RNAcentral lists this long non-coding RNA (324 nucleotides) under Ficedula albicollis (Collared flycatcher). RNAcentral describes it as "lncRNA (ENSFALG00000026100.1)". The record is from RNAcentral. Lineage: Eukaryota; Metazoa; Chordata; Aves; Passeriformes; Muscicapidae.
UGUUUGUCUACCUUCCUAAAUCUGAAAAAAGGGCUACUGGGCAGAAGGGCUGGGAGCUGAUGUACAUUUUCUUUCUCAGGAAGUUGGAGUGCACAUGGCUGGAACUGUUCAGAGCACUCUAUGUAAGCCAUAAAAAUUCAAGAGUCAGAAGCAAGCUGUUCUUCCUGAUGAGAUGUAUUUUGACUAACUACUUCUGCAGAGCAAUUCCUUCUUUAGAAGAAACUGCUCUGUGCCCUCCACUUUCUUGUAAGUAAUAUUUUUUCAGAAUUUUUAACUGGUGGGGACAGGUCAUAUGUAUUAAAUAAGCAUCAAGAAAAGUCAAUA